Molecule: ribosomal RNA, 450 nt
Filed under: uncultured prokaryote
Description: bacterial SSU rRNA
Rfam family: Bacterial small subunit ribosomal RNA
Source: RNAcentral
UGAGGAAUAUUGCGCAAUGGGGGAAACCCUGACGCAGCGACGCCGCGUGGAUGAUGAAGGCCUUCGGGUCGUAAAAUCCUGUCAGAUGGGAAGAAGUGACAGUUACCCAAUACGUAUCUGUUUUGACGGUACCAUCAAAGGAAGCACCGGCUAACUCCGUGCCAGCAGCCGCGGUAAUACGGAGGGUGCGAGCGUUGUUCGGAAUUACUGGGCGUAAAGCGCGCGUAGGCGGUUUGUUAAGUCAGAUGUGAAAGUCCAUGGCUCAACCAUGGAAGUGCAUUUGAUACUGGCAGGCUUGAGUAUUGGAGGGGGUAGUGGAAUUCCCGGUGUAGAGGUGAAAUUCGUAGAUAUCGGGAGGAAUACCGGUGGCGAAGGCGACUACCUGGCCAAAUACUGACGCUGAGGUGCGAAAGCGUGGGGAGCAAACAGGAUUAGAUACCCCCGUAGUCC